UACGGAGGGGGCGAGCGUUGUCCGGAGUUACUGGGCGUAAAGGGCAUGCAGGCGGUCGGACGCGUUUUGUGUGACAGCGGGUGGCUCAACUGCCCGAGCAUACGAAAGACGGUUUGACUUGAGGGCUCGAGAGGGACACGGAAUUCCGGGUGGAGUGGUGAAAUGCGUAGAUAUCUGCAGGAACACCCGUGGCGAAAGCGGCGCGCUGGACCACUACUGACGCUGAGGAACGAAAGCUAGGGGAGCAAACGGG
RNAcentral lists this ribosomal RNA (253 nucleotides) under uncultured bacterium. Its description in RNAcentral is "partial 16S ribosomal RNA". It matches the Rfam family "Bacterial small subunit ribosomal RNA", at positions 524 to 776 of the family's 1533-position model. The record is from RNAcentral.